Diceros bicornis minor is the source of this 202-nucleotide long non-coding RNA. RefSeq lists it as uncharacterized. The transcript has 3 exons. The record is from RefSeq and is a predicted model, not a curated record. Lineage: Eukaryota; Metazoa; Chordata; Mammalia; Perissodactyla; Rhinocerotidae.
CCUUUCUGCAGUGUGGAGGAGCGCUGGGCAGGAGGCGGCACCAAGUUUGGUGGCAGCAGUGGGAUCCAAAGGAGACAUCUGAUGGCUUAGGGGAUGAGAAACACAGGCAUUGGUACCCGCAAAACUUUUGAGUUCUCCAUCCUUUUUGCUGUUUCUGAGGGCCGUGGAGAGAUAGAAAGUGGAACAGUGUUUGCCAGGAUCU